Molecule: ribosomal RNA, 782 nt
Filed under: Escherichia coli
Lineage: Bacteria; Pseudomonadati; Pseudomonadota; Gammaproteobacteria; Enterobacterales; Enterobacteriaceae
Description: partial 23S ribosomal RNA
Rfam family: Bacterial large subunit ribosomal RNA
Source: RNAcentral
CCGAUAGUGAACCAGUACCGUGAGGGAAAGGCGAAAAGAACCCCGGCGAGGGGAGUGAAAAAGAACCUGAAACCGUGUACGUACAAGCAGUGGGAGCAUGCUUAGGCGUGUGACUGCGUACCUUUUGUAUAAUGGGUCAGCGACUUAUAUUCUGUAGCAAGGUUAACCGAAUAGGGGAGCCGAAGGGAAACCGAGUCUUAACUGGGCGUUAAGUUGCAGGGUAUAGACCCGAAACCCGGUGAUCUAGCCAUGGGCAGGUUGAAGGUUGGGUAACACUAACUGGAGGACCGAACCGACUAAUGUUGAAAAAUUAGCGGAUGACUUGUGGCUGGGGGUGAAAGGCCAAUCAAACCGGGAGAUAGCUGGUUCUCCCCGAAAGCUAUUUAGGUAGCGCCUCGUGAACUCAUCUCCGGGGGUAGAGCACUGUUUCGGCAAGGGGGUCAUCCCGACUUACCAACCCGAUGCAAACUGCGAAUACCGGAGAAUGUUAUCACGGGAGACACACGGCGGGUGCUAACGUCCGUCGUGAAGAGGGAAACAACCCAGACCGCCAGCUAAGGUCCCAAAGUCAUGGUUAAGUGGGAAACGAUGUGGGAAGGCCCAGACAGCCAGGAUGUUGGCUUAGAAGCAGCCAUCAUUUAAAGAAAGCGUAAUAGCUCACUGGUCGAGUCGGCCUGCGCGGAAGAUGUAACGGGGCUAAACCAUGCACCGAAGCUGCGGCAGCGACGCUUAUGCGUUGUUGGGUAGGGGAGCGUUCUGUAAGCCUGUGAAGGUGUGCUGUG